RNAcentral lists this transfer RNA (86 nucleotides) under Deltaproteobacteria bacterium. RNAcentral's name for it is "tRNA-Ser". It matches the Rfam family "tRNA". From Rfam's summary of the family: Transfer RNA (tRNA) molecules are approximately 80 nucleotides in length. Their secondary structure includes four short double-helical elements and three loops (D, anti-codon, and T loops). Further hydrogen bonds mediate the characteristic L-shaped molecular structure. tRNAs have two regions of fundamental functional importance: the anti-codon, which is responsible for specific mRNA codon recognition, and the 3' end, to which the tRNAs corresponding amino acid is attached (by aminoacyl-tRNA synthetases). tRNAs cope with the degeneracy of the genetic code in two manners: having more than one tRNA (with a specific anti-codon) for a particular amino acid; and 'wobble' base-pairing, i.e. permitting non-standard base-pairing at the 3rd anti-codon position. The record is from RNAcentral. Lineage: Bacteria; Pseudomonadati; Myxococcota; Myxococcia.
GGAGGCGUGGCCGAGUGGUCGAAGGCAGCGGUCUUGAAAACCGCCGGGCGAAAGCUCCGUGGGUUCGAAUCCUACCGCCUCCGCCA